This 836-nucleotide ribosomal RNA is filed under the name uncultured soil bacterium. Its description in RNAcentral is "bacterial SSU rRNA". It matches the Rfam family "Bacterial small subunit ribosomal RNA", at positions 26 to 898 of the family's 1533-position model. The record is from RNAcentral.
AGGAUAAACGCUGGCGGCGUGCCUAACACAUGCAAGUCGAACGCCCUACGCAAGUAGGGAGUGGCGGACGGGUGAGUAACACGUGGGAUAUCUACCCAGAGGUGAGGAAUACCGGCGAGAAAUCGCCGACAAUACCGCAUACGCUCCGCAAGGAGUAAAGCUCGCAAGAGCGCCACUGGAUGAUCCUGCGGUCGAUUAGUUUGUUGGUGAGGUAAUGGCUCACCAAGACGACGAUCGAUAGCUGGUCUGAGAGGACGAUCAGCCACACUGGGAUUGAGAACGGCCCAGACUCCUACGGGGGGCAGCAGUGAGGAAUUUUCGUCAAUGGGGGCAACCCUGAACGAGCAACGCCGCGUGCAGGAAGAAGGUUUUCGGAUCGUAAACUGCUUUUCUCUGGGACGAGCAAGGACGGUACCAGAGGAAUCAGCCCCGGCUAACUACGUGCCAGCAGCCGCGGUAAUACGUAGGGGGCGAGCGUUGUCCGGAUUUAUUGGGCGUAAAGGGUCCGCAGGCGGUUUGGUAAGUUUGACGUGACAGUUCCCGGCUCAACUGGGAAAGUGCGUUGGAAACUGCCAGACUUGAGGGCUUCAGAGGGAUGCGGAAUUCCGGGUGGAGUGGUGAAAUGCGUAGAUAUCCGGAGGAACACCGAAGGCGAAGGCAGCAUCCUGGGAAGUCUCUGACGCUCAGGGACGAAAGCUAGGGGAGCGAACGGGAUUAGAUACCCCGGUAGUCCUAGCCGUAAACGAUGACCACUAGACGUAAGAGGUAUCGACCCCCCUUGUGUCGCAGUUAACACGAUAAGUGGUCCGCCUGGGGAGUACGGUCGCAAGAUUAAA